RNAcentral lists this unclassified non-coding RNA (378 nucleotides) under plant metagenome. RNAcentral's name for it is "partial contains 5.8S ribosomal RNA, internal transcribed spacer 2, and large subunit ribosomal RNA". The stretch from base 1 to 105 matches the Rfam family "5.8S ribosomal RNA", at positions 50 to 154 of the family's 154-position model. The record is from RNAcentral.
GAAAUGCGAUAAGUAAUGUGAAUUGCAGAAUUCAGUGAAUCAUCGAAUCUUUGAACGCACCUUGCGCUCCUUGGUAUUCCUUGGAGCAUGCCUGUUUGAGUAUCAUGAAAUCUUCAAAGUAAAUCUUUUGUUAACUCAAUUGGUUUCUACUUUGGUAUUGGAGGUCUUUGCAGCUUCACACCUGCUCCUCUUUGUUCAUUAGCUGGAUCUCAGUGUUAUGCUUGGUUCCACUCGGCGUGAUAAGUUAUCUAUCGCUGAGGACACUGUAAAAGGUGGCCAAGGUAAAUGCAGAUGAACCGCUUCUAAUAGUCCAUUGACUUGGACAAUACUUUUAUCAUCUGAUCUCACAUCAGGUAGGACUACCCGCUGAACUUAAGC